AUGCACCUUGUCAACCCCAUCACAUGUGAACAGAUCGCUCUUCCGUCGGUGAUCACCAUCGAGCAGGUGAAGCCCAUCUUUGAUGAGCACGGUGCUGUCCAUAAGUAUGAGUACUCAUGCCAUACUGGGACGGAUGCCGGUCCUUACUCUCCGUCUAUCUUUGCUAUUGACAAGCUGCGCCACAAACUUCACUAUAAGGCGUUUGUGUUCCCUGAUACAUCCACGGGAAGCUACAUCGUCGUGCUCAUCCAUAAUCCAAAGCGUCAGCUCUCUUUUGCAAGAGUAGGUGAUGAUAACUGGACUUGGCUGCCACCUCAUGAACGAUAUAGUGACUGCAAUUACAAGGAUGGCCUGUUGUAUGAGGUGACUACAACCGGAGAACUACAUGCUUUUGAUUUUAGUGGGCCUGUCAUCACAACGGAGAUGAUUGUAAGAAUGGACUCUAUAUAUGGCUUUGGGUACACGUACGUUGUUCAAGCUUCAUCGGGCGAUCUGCUUCUUAUUUGGAGAAAUAUUGACCAGUACAAUUUCGAUCCUCAUCCUGGAUCAUCUGUAUUUUGGAUAUAUAUGGCUUUGGAUAUAUAA
RNAcentral lists this ribosomal RNA (585 nucleotides) under Triticum aestivum (bread wheat). RNAcentral's name for it is "partial small subunit ribosomal RNA". Lineage: Eukaryota; Viridiplantae; Streptophyta; Magnoliopsida; Poales; Poaceae. The record is from RNAcentral.